RNAcentral lists this unclassified non-coding RNA (345 nucleotides) under uncultured Hygrocybe. RNAcentral's name for it is "sequence contains ITS1". The stretch from base 1 to 105 matches the Rfam family "5.8S ribosomal RNA", at positions 50 to 154 of the family's 154-position model. Lineage: Eukaryota; Fungi; Basidiomycota; Agaricomycetes; Agaricales; Hygrophoraceae. The record is from RNAcentral.
GAAAUGCGAUACGUAGUGUGAAUUGCAGAAUUCCGUGAAUCAUCGAAACCUUGAACGCACCUUGCGCUUGCAGGUCCUCCUGCAAGCAUGCCUGUUUGAGCGUCGCUUCAUCAUCACUCUCUCAAGACAACCUCUUCAGAGAGCGGUUGUGACCGUCAGACUUUUUUGCAGUCUGUUGGUUGAAAUACCGAGUGGAGAACCCGCUUUGAGGUUACGAUAGUGCGGUUGACGCGCCUUGUGCGUGAUAUUGGCACUGCUCUGGCCUCUCAGGGACCUCUCUGCAUCGUCCUUUGCGACUCGAAACCCAUCGACCUCAAAUCAGGUAGGGAGACCCGCUGAACUUAA